RNAcentral lists this ribosomal RNA (348 nucleotides) under uncultured bacterium. RNAcentral describes it as "partial 16S ribosomal RNA". It matches the Rfam family "Bacterial small subunit ribosomal RNA", at positions 338 to 703 of the family's 1533-position model. The record is from RNAcentral.
CCUACGGGUGGCUGCAGUGGGGAAUAUUGCACAAUGGGGGAAACCCUGAUGCAGCGACGCCGCGUGAGUGAAGAAGUAAUUCGUUAUGUAAAGCUCUAUCAGCAGGGAAGAAAAGGACGGUACCUGAGUAAGAAGCCCCGGCGAACUACGUGCCAGCAGCCGCGGGAAUACGUAGGGGGCAAGCGUUCUCCGGAGUUACUGGGUGUAAAGGGAGCGUAGACGGCCGUGCAAGUCUGGAGUGAACGGCGGGGGCUCCACCCCCGGACUGCUCUGGAAACUGUACGGCGGGAGUGCCGGAGAGGUAAGUGGCAUUCCUAGUGUAGCGGUGCCAUGCGUAGCUCUUAGGAG